Non-coding RNA from Rubrobacter xylanophilus DSM 9941, 418 nucleotides. It matches the Rfam family "Bacterial RNase P class A". Rfam says of the family: Ribonuclease P (RNase P) is a ubiquitous endoribonuclease, found in archaea, bacteria and eukarya as well as chloroplasts and mitochondria. Its best characterised activity is the generation of mature 5'-ends of tRNAs by cleaving the 5'-leader elements of precursor-tRNAs. Lineage: Bacteria; Bacillati; Actinomycetota; Rubrobacteria; Rubrobacterales; Rubrobacteraceae. The record is from Rfam.
CGGGCCGCCCGACCCGCCGCUGUACCCCCUCGCGGGGUGCAGAGGAAAGUCCGGACUCGCGAGGACCGGUUGCCCCGAGGGCAACCGGUCCGGAAAGGCCGCCUGGGCUAAUAACCCAGGGGGCGGCGCGGCGCAAGCCCGCCGUCACGUCAAGUGCAACAGAGAGCAGACCAGCCGAUGGCCGGGGCCUCUGGCUCCGGCACAGGUGAUGGGUGAAAGGGUGGGGUAAGAGCCCACCGGCGGUACCCCGUAAGGGGGCCGGCCAGGUAAACUACCGGUGCGAGCAAGCCAAAUUUGCCCGGGGAGACCCCGGGCAUGGUAGGCGCGGCCCCUCACAGAGGGGCCCGGGGGGCGGCGAGGCCCCCCGGAGAUGGAUGGCGGGAUAGAACAGAAUCCGGCUUACGGGGCGGCCCGGCCG